Long non-coding RNA from Homo sapiens (human), 1287 nucleotides. NCBI's taxonomy places the organism in Eukaryota, Metazoa, Chordata, Mammalia, Primates, Hominidae. The record is from Ensembl.
CCACGGUAAGUUUGGCUUGGCCUUAGCUGUUGCAGGAGACCUGUGAACUCUGCCUUAUAUAAUGUGGAUGUUGGGCACAGAGCUGUCAUCUUUGACUGAUUCCAGGACAAAAAUGACAGGACAUUGUGGUAGGGGACUCACUUUCUCAUCCCAUGGGUACAGAAACCAAUUAUCUUUGCCUUUCUCCACCACGUAAUGUACCAAUCAUCACUGGUAGCAAAGAUUUACAGAAUGUCAAUAUCACACUGCGCAUCAUCUUCCAGCCUGUUGCUAGCCAGCUUCCUCGCAUCUUCACCAGCAUCGGAGAGGACUAUGAUGAGCCUGUGCUGACGUACAUCACGACCGAGAUCCUCAAGUCAGUGGUGGCUCGCUUUGAUGCUGGAGAAGUUAUCACUCAGAGAGAGCUGGUCUCCAGGCAGGUGAGCAACGACCUUACGGAGCAAGCAGCCACAUUUGGGCUCAUCCUGGACGACGUGUCCUUGACAUAUCUGACCUUUGGAAAGGAGUUCACAGAAGCAGUGGAAGCCAAACAGGUGGCUCAGCAGGAAGCAGAGAGGGCCAGAUUUGUGAAGGAAAAGGCUGAGCAGCAGAAAAAGGCUGAGCAGCAGAAAAAGGUUGAGCAGCAGAAAAAGGCAGCCGUGAUCUCUGCUGAGGGCGACUCCAAGGCAACCGAGCUGAUUGCCAACUCACUGGCCACCGCGGGGGACGGCCUGAUGGAGCUGUGCAAGUUGGAAGCCGCGGAGGCUCUCGGAACAUGACCUACCUGCCGGCGGGGCAGUCCGCUCCUCCGGCUGCCCCAUGAGGGCCCACCCUGCCUGCACCUCCGCAGGCUGACUGGGCCACAGCCCCAAUGAUUCUUAACACUGCCUUACCCCCCUACCCCAGAAAUCACUGAAAUUUCAUAAUUGGCUUAAAGUGAAGGAAAUAAAAGUAAAAUCACUUCAGAACUCUUAAAAAAAAAAGAAGAAGAAGAAAAGAAAAAAAUAACCAAUUAGUUGGGCCAGGUGGCUCAUGCCUGUAAUUCUAGCACUUUGGGAGGCUAAGAGAGAAGAGCUUGAGCUCAGGAGUUCAAGACCAGUCUGAGCAACAUGAUGAGACCCCAUCUCUACAAAAAAUUUAAGAAUUAGCCAGACAUGGUGGUGCAUACCUGUAGUCCCAGCUACUUGGGAGGCUGAGGCUGGAGGAUCCCUUGAACCCAGGAAUUGAAGGCAGCAGUGAGCUUUGAUCACGCCACUGUACCCCAUCCUGGGUGACAGAGUGAGACCCCCUCAAAAAAGAAAAAAAAAA